This is a non-coding RNA of Glycine soja, 107 nucleotides long. NCBI's taxonomy places the organism in Eukaryota, Viridiplantae, Streptophyta, Magnoliopsida, Fabales, Fabaceae. The record is from Rfam.
AUUUGGUGGUGAAGGCAAAUGGCACAUAGUUUCUUAAAUCUCUCUCAAUAUUCAUAUAAGCUCUCUCCAUUGAGUUGCCUAAUUCUUGAAAUAUCUUUUCUGAUGGU